GGCGGUUCUUGGGUGAUGCACCCCAGUAUCGGGCUCCCUCUUCUCUGGUUCCAGGUGUGUCACCCGAGAACCACA
This is a non-coding RNA of Myotis brandtii (Brandt's bat), 75 nucleotides long. The record is from Rfam. NCBI's taxonomy places the organism in Eukaryota, Metazoa, Chordata, Mammalia, Chiroptera, Vespertilionidae.